Non-coding RNA from Oryza punctata, 199 nucleotides. NCBI's taxonomy places the organism in Eukaryota, Viridiplantae, Streptophyta, Magnoliopsida, Poales, Poaceae. The record is from Rfam.
AAUAAGUGAAGUUUUACACUCUUCAUAUCUAACGUUCGACCGUUCAUCUUAUUUGAAAUUUUGUUAUGAUCAAUAUUUUUAUUGUUAUUAGAUAAUAAAACAUGGAUAGUACUUUAUGUGUGAUUAUUUUUUUUCAUAAAUAUUUCAAAUAAGAUGAACGGUCAAACGUUGGAUACGGAUAUUCACGGAUGCACUUAUU